UGGUUAGCCCUAUGCAAUAGGCAUUGUGAGCAACGCUUCAGGAUGGGAACAUAGCAGAGCACUUGCAAUGUUUGUGUGCCAUUGGUCCCUGGCUGGAA
This is a non-coding RNA of Helicobacter bilis, 98 nucleotides long. NCBI's taxonomy places the organism in Bacteria, Pseudomonadati, Campylobacterota, Epsilonproteobacteria, Campylobacterales, Helicobacteraceae. The record is from Rfam.